UAAAAAACGUUCAUUGAUUUUGACGAAAAAUUUCAUCGAUUUACAAUCGCGCAAUUGAGAAAAAGAAAAAAGAACAGAAAAAGAAAAAGAGAUGCGGACUAGGGAAAGAACAAAAAGGACAGAAGUAGUUUCUUUCCAUAAGUUAGCGAUGGCCCUAGUGGUCUAGAGUAUGAUUCCUGGGCGCGCGCACCAUUUUUAUACUCCCUUGGUAUUUUAGAGUAUAGAUUCACUCCCUUAAUAUUUUAGAGUAUAGAUUCACUCAUUUUGCUCCGUAUGUGGUUCAUAGUGAAAUCUCUUUAAAGACUUAUAUUUAAGAACGGAGGGAGUACUUUAGAACGAAGUCCCAAAUAGGAAAGCAAUAGCCUCCCUCGUUAUGCUCAUCGAUUAGACUAUCUGGAAGGGGAAUGCCCGCGUCUUCUGGACACAAGUCUACUCCUCCGCCGGUUCUCCUCACAAUACAACCCUUUAACGGUCACGGUAUGGGCGCCUCCUCACGGUGUCCACGUCGACAGGAAAGGACAAACGGGAGCAGAAAAAAAAGUAAACAAUGCAACGGAUCAACACACCAUCGUUUCCUUCCCUGCGAAGGCAACUCCCCUGUCAAAUCGCCUUCUCCUCCCUCCUUCCCUCAUCCCUGCGCCGCCACCUCCGCCACUUCUCCUCUCCCCUAGCCAAGCUCGAGCCCUCCGCCGUCCCCUCCUCCUUGAGCACCUCUCCCUUCCUCUAAAGAAGGAACACGGGCCCGCCGCUACACCUGAGCCGCCAGAAGGUCGUCGGGUGGAGGUGUCCCAGGUCUUGAAGCCUCCGGAGUCGUUGUCGCUGUAUGGAGAUGGGUCGGCAGAGGAUGACGGUGUUGGGGUCAGGAGGGCAAAGGCGCCGCCGACGCUGAUGUGGAGGUUGAGGCCUCUCCCGCCGUUGUCUCCUUUUCGAGGCUGUCCGACUUGGCCGACGGCCUCGACUAGGUGCUCAUGGCUGCUGGCGCACUCGCUACCGCCGCCCACGGCGCAUCACUCGUCAUCGGCCUGCACUAUUUCAGGAGGUCCUUCAAUUUGGUCGACACUGAACUGGUUCAGUGUGUUCUCCACAGCCUGCUCCUCGACUAAUUUAUGCAGGUAAACCGAUGCUUCACAUGCUCUUCUCUUAAUCAUGAUAUUUAUUGCCUGAGACACCCCAAGGUCAAUUCAGCAACAAAUGUCUUUAGGUUCCAGUUUAUUCCUACAAAUUGAAGUGGUAAAGACCGUUUCCUGCGCGCGUGUUCCACUACUGUCCUAUAUAUACAGCGAGCAGGGAAACCACCGAAUCAUACAGAGCAAAGCACACAAUAGUACAAGACCGGCAGGCGGCAGCAACAAGGCCUCCACAUACAAGCUCUCUUGUUGCAAUCUCUCUUGAUUAUUCUGGCCCAUCAUCAAACUUGAUUAGCGACAGAGAAACAACUUGUCAGAUACAAGAUCAACAUAUGGUUGCCAAUGUAUGUUUGUCUAACUUUUUCCAGGGUGUUCUUCUCUAUGGGGAAGCCAUUAUUAUCAAGGGCUAUGGCCAGUAACAUUCAUGCUAACUUUUUGGGUUUUCACUUGAUUGACGGUACUUCGUAUUUUCAUUCUGUCAGUAUUACAUUACACUGACGUGUUGUCUAAAAAUCAGAUUGUGUCAAGUCCUAUAAUUGACAAAUACAUCGGAGAAAUUGCUCAUUUAAUCAGAGAAAUGUUUGGCUAUGCACGUGAUCACCAAGUAAGUUUUGCCCCGGCUCUUUUUUUUGCAAAGCUAAUUGGUCUUAAACUUAAUUCCCUUAUUAUUUGUUAGAAACGCAUGUCGGCAGAUAGUUAUGCAUCCCCUGACGCUGAGAUGCAAGCUGCGACUUGAUAGUUCCCGUGACUCAGAUAUCAUGUCAUCGAACUGUAUUCCGGUUCAACGCUAUAAAAUUUUAAGCUUUAGAUCUCAGUAUCAGUUUUUCCUGAGAAAAAGAAAUCAAACUGAUCUCAAUAUAAGUAGAAGUGCAUUUCUGAGAUCUUUUAGCUUAUAUCACCAUUUAGUUUAUUUACCCUGCUCAUAGAUUUUGUUUCAUUUUCAUCAAAUUUUUAUUUCUAGCGAUGCAUUAUCUUCAUGGAUGAAAUCGAUGCAAUUGGUGAGAGAAGAUUUAGUGAGGGAACCUGUGACGUCCGUGAGAUCCAGCGGACACUCAUGGAGCUUCUUAAUCAUUUAGAUGGAUUUGAUGAGCUUGGCAAGGUAAACUAUCAUCAUCAAGUUUUUUCUCUCUAGAGGCCUUUAUGCCAUAUAUGCAAAGGAAUGGAUUCAAUCGAAGUAAUUUGCUUGCCUGUAUGUGUGUGUGUGCGCGCGCGCGUGUGCGUGUGUGCGUGUGUGCGUGUGUGUGUGUGUGUGUGUGUGUGUGUGUGUGAUAUGCACUCCAGCUUUCCUGGCUUUCGUGGAAAGUAUAUGUGUUUAUACAUGAAUUUUGUAGAUUAAAUUUGUUGCUCAUCUUUGCUUCAUUGCUUCUAUGAAUUUUCUAGAUGUGGAUUCACGUAACAUUUUAUUUAACUCCUUUUUGUAACAUUACACAUUUUUGCUCUCGGGGGAAAGUAUAGGUGUUUCGACAUGAAUUUUGUGCAUAAUUUUUUUUUCAUCUUUGCUUGAUUGCUUCUAUGGAUUUUUUGGAUGCGGAUUCGAGUAACAUUUUAUUUAACUUGCUUUUUUAACACUACACAUUUUUAGAAGGAAAAAAAUUGAGGACUGUAGGUUUUGUUUUGUCUGAUUGUUGACAUGCCAACGGAAUUGCCUCAUUGUUUGAUAGACUUGAAUACUUAUGAUUUCUUUCUUACUGGGCUUGUUUUAUUUUAUUUUGGGAAAAACCCAUGACUUUAUCCUAACCCGAUACAUCGUGAUCACUAAUGCCGAGAAGGGUUCAUCGUCCCAAUCAAGGUGAGUAAAAUUAACCGCCUCUUUUGGUGCUGAUGCAACUAGGAAUGGUGUUACUUGUGGCUUGAGUGGCUUCAGUUCAGUGGGUAACACAACUUAUUUGCACUUCCUGGAAAUAUAAUUAUCAUUUGUUAUUUUGCUAUGUAUUAGCUGUGACUUGACUGAUUCGAGGUCAGGAACAUGAUUAGCCUGAUGUAUUAUGCAUGACCAUUGGAAGACAUUGUUUUCCAUGAUAUAAUUAGUGUGAUGGUGCAGUUACCCCAAUUGAUCGGAUGCCACAAUGCCCUCUAUCUUUUUGAGUGCUUUUGGUUGAUUUCUUCAAGCAGUGCAAGCUAGAGUGUGAGCUUUGCCUAUGCCCUUAGUAGCUUACAAAAGUUCACCUUACUUCACUUUCCUGUUACUAUAUUGGCAUCUAUUCAUGAAGCAUGGUCAUUUCCUUAUAAGUAUAAAUUUUUGCAAUCAGCACAUGAGUCAUCCAAUUUGUUUUACAACCCGAGGUUCACAUUAGUUGUUUCUCUUCAUGACUCAGCUUUAUUGGUGUCACUCUCAGCUCGAUGGUCAUGAAUCAAAUGUGACUUCCUAUCUAAUUACAUUUAACUUCAACAAUUGCUUGUUUUAACCAUUGCUCAUUAUUCAGAUUGUCUUUGAUGGGUGAGUUUUGGCUACGUACACAACAUCGCACUCAGAAUUUGAGCGGCGCUAAUAGAACUGUUGAGUGCUCGAUCUGAUUCUUUAAAGAAUCAAAGCAUUCAAAUUCUUGUUUUAAUGCUUUAGAAUAUGAAUACCUUUAAAAAAAUUAUCAUGCAUUUGUAAUUUUGUAACUCAUGUUGAUCAGUAAUUCUUGUAGUUGUGUAAAUUUUGCACAAUCAUAAGUCCUUUAGAAUGCUAAAACCUGACACCUAUGCUUCAAUAGUUUCCUGAACUGAACUUCUGUAAAAUACAUAAACCAAAGAGUACUCUUAGAUAUUUAGUUUAGGUUAAAUUUGCGCAGAGUGAUUAAGAAUAUUGGCUUGCAAUAAUAAUCAAAAUGGACCAGUUUGGCGUGCAGUAAUAAUCAUAACGGUAAAUGGUAUGUUCUUUUAUUGCUACUCUCACUUUCCAUGUGCAUGCUAGGUAUGUUUCCUUUCACUAGGCAAUUGUACUUUGUUCUGGGUUGCAUCAACUUGCAUCAGUCGCUGCUCCUCGGUGUGUGCAAGGGGAAGUGCAGAAGUAGUGGGGAGUGUAGCUGACUAAAAUCCAUGUAGCAUUUGUGUUGGGUACAUCAAGAUGAACAUCAUGCUGAUUCUGAUGUGAAAAUGGAUGACGCCAGGCCUAUAGAGUACUCAUAAAGAUGUUCUGUUUUAUUUGGUUCCUUAGUCAUGGCCUCAUGAAGUCCCUUUCUUCAGCCAAACUGAAGCACUUGGUGUUGGCCUGUCUUUGCUUUUGGAUUAACUGUAAUAUAUCCUCAUUAGAUGUAUCACUACUUGUGAUGGUUCUGAACUCAAAUAGUACAGUAUAUGUACUUUGAUUGAUGUGCUACCAAUAGAUCCUAAUGAACUCAAAUAAGUGAAAUUGAUGGCCAAACUUGACAACUAAAAGUGUCCAGACAAGAUAAGUGCGCACAUGCCCGCUCAGGUGGCGCCCCAGCCUCUAGUGAUCAAGAAUGAUGCCUUGGUUUGGAUGACCGUCGGUGCCAAGAACCCAGGAAAGCUAAUUUUGGAUGACCGUCGGUGCCAAGUACGAACUGAAGCCAUAAUAUAUCAUCAGACUGAAACUGACACUAUCUCCACCCGCAAACCUGUGCUAAUUAAUUCUCCAUCCAUAGAAUUCGACAGCAUCUCUUUCUUUACAUUCACAACUGCAAAGAAAGAUCACACAUCCAUCCACAACUACCUGCAUGCAACACCAUGCCACCAUACCAACAACAUGCAUGGUUCACCCAUAUCAUCUCCAAGCCUAGUAGUAGUAGUAGUAGAUCCAAGGUCGGGUUGGUUCGACGCCAACACAAAAGACAACAUGCAGUACGUUCCAUGGUUUCCAGCGACAUCAAAGGACCGACUAACACACGACAGGUAGAGUAGUUCCAGGUGCUACUUAUUUAGAUCGAUAGAUAUAGAUAGACACAGGCACAUAGCGAAGACACAGUUCACCACUACCCCCAGCAGCAAGCGGAUCAGCAGAAGAACAUGGAGGUCCUCACAUUCUUGUGCAGUUCCGGCACCGGGAUGCUGCCCGCCGACGUGUGCCCCCCUCCCUGGCUCGACGACGCGGCCGACAUGUCUUCAAACUUCACGAAUGCGCCUACCUGUGCAGCCGCCAGAUGCGCGUACAUGAUCGGAGCAACUGCAAGCCAUCCCAAGCAAAAACACAACAAAACAUAAGGAACAAUGCUCAUUAUUUGCCAAGCAAAGACAAUGAGGAACAAUGCUCAUUAUUUGCCAAGCAAAGACAAUGAGUCGCACAUACCGACUGAUAUCGCUGUUGUGCUCCUCUGGUACCUGAAAAGGUCACAGCAACAGGGUUCAGGCAUAGCUUGGCAACAGUUUUCUUUUAUCAAGAAUGGUACAAAUUUCUCAAGCUGUAACCCUAGACUGCCUGUCUACGUACACGUAUGAAAGUGAAUGCACAAAUUCCUGAAGCUCAUCCGCGGAGAAGCCGAUCUCAUCAUGCAGAACAUGGUAAUGUGUUGGCCUCGACGUGCCCUAGCACACACAGCAAACACAAACUUAAAUACGACCAUCACCGGGCAUACUGGUACGUGGUGGUAGUAACAAAAAAACAGAGCAGAAAGCAGAGAUUACUUACGAUCAUCCCAGCAUGUGCGCACAUGUAGAAGUCGAAAUUCUUGGGAUGGCAGACCUCUUUAUCCACGACGGUCCCUACAGAAUGAUGACAUGAACGCUUGCUUUUACUAUCAUUUCAAAGGAAAUUGCAAGUUUAUGUGAUAGGCGAUGUUUCGCUCUAGAAAAAUAGUAGGAAAUAAAGUUUACCAGGAGGAACAUUAUUUGGGGAUUCAGUCCGGAACUUGCAGGCCUGCAUUGAUUAAAAGUAAAUGAAAUAACACUGUCCAAUGCGGGGUAAUUACUUGUACAUCACACAAAUACACUACCUCGAUGAUCUGCUCCAGCUCAAUGUUGAUGACCUGAGUAAACUGGCUUUCGCUAACUCCAUCCCUAGAAUUAGCACAAGUUAUACAAGUUGGUGGUUAAGACAUCAUCAACUAUCCAUUUUUCAGUACUCCCUCCUUCCAUCUAUAUAGGGCCUAAUGCGUUUUUCAAGCAAUAAUAUAUGACAUGCAACUUACACAAAGCACACCCUCUUACAGAAAUGUAAGGAAAGGCUGCGUACUAUAGACCCAAAGUGGUCGGACCCUUCCCUGGACCCUGCGCAAGCGGGAGCUACAUGCACCAGGUUGCUUUCAACUUACACAAAGCACACCGUUAAAUUCAUGUGUGAAAGGAGCU
RNAcentral lists this long non-coding RNA (6356 nucleotides) under Triticum aestivum (bread wheat). RNAcentral describes it as "long non-coding RNA (TAES_LNC017082)". The record is from RNAcentral. Lineage: Eukaryota; Viridiplantae; Streptophyta; Magnoliopsida; Poales; Poaceae.